GACGAACGCUGGCGGCGUGCUUAACACAUGCAAGUCGAACGGAAAGGCCCUGCUUUUGUGGGGUGCUCGAGUGGCGAACGGGUGAGUAACACGAGAGUAACCUGCCCUUGACUUUGGCAUAUCUUCAGGAAACUGGGGCUAAUACCGGAUAGGAGCACCUGCUGCAGGGUGGGGGUUGGAACGUUUCGGCGGAUGGGGAUGGACUGGCGGGUGAUCAGUUUGUUGGUGGGGUAGUGGCUGACCAAGGCAUGGACGGGUAGCCGGCCUGAGAGCGUGACCGGCGACAUUGGGACUGCGAUACGGCCCAGACGCGUACGGGAGGCAGCGGUGGGGAAUCUUGCCCAGUGGGCGGGCGUCUGAUGCAGCGGCGCCGCGUGCGGGAUGACGGCCUUCGGGUUGUAAACCGCUUUCGCCUGUGACGAAGCGUGAGUGACGGUAAUGGGUGAAGAAGCACCGGCUAACUACGUG
RNAcentral lists this ribosomal RNA (468 nucleotides) under uncultured bacterium. RNAcentral describes it as "partial 16S ribosomal RNA". It matches the Rfam family "Bacterial small subunit ribosomal RNA", at positions 28 to 507 of the family's 1533-position model. The record is from RNAcentral.